This 194-nucleotide ribosomal RNA is filed under the name uncultured Burkholderiales bacterium. Its description in RNAcentral is "partial 16S ribosomal RNA". It matches the Rfam family "Bacterial small subunit ribosomal RNA", at positions 138 to 334 of the family's 1533-position model. The record is from RNAcentral. Lineage: Bacteria; Pseudomonadati; Pseudomonadota; Betaproteobacteria; Burkholderiales.
GGGGGAUAGCCCGGCGAAAGCCGGAUUAAUACCGCAUACGAUCUACGGAUGAAAGCGGGGGACCUUCGGGCCUCGCGCUAUAGGGUUGGCCGAUGGCUGAUUAGCUAGUUGGUGGGGUAAAGGCCUACCAAGGCGACGAUCAGUAGCUGGUCUGAGAGGACGACCAGCCACACUGGGACUGAGACACGGCCCAG